Molecule: long non-coding RNA, 446 nt
Filed under: Mus pahari (shrew mouse)
Lineage: Eukaryota; Metazoa; Chordata; Mammalia; Rodentia; Muridae
Description: lncRNA (MGP_PahariEiJ_G0004154.1)
Source: RNAcentral
CAUGAGAAGAAUGCUCAUACACAUAAGAUAAUUAAAUAAAUUGGAAAAUAACUAAAAAAAAAAAAAAGGAACAAAGAGAAAUUUGUUCCUCCUGCAGAAGCCAAGCAUAGACUGCUCAGCUUCAUCUGGGUCCAAAUGACACCACAAGAUUUGUCUUGUGUCCAUCUCACUGCUCUACAAUCUUAUGUGAUGGUGAAAUUCUCAGAUGCUUCUUGCGCCCUGAUGAUAUCACAGAACACAGUGUCACAAACUGCACCCUUCGAAUUACAAGCCUAUUUUGACCAAGACAUCUCUCCCUUCGUCCCGCCACUUUCUUGUUCAGUGUCCACGACUUGCUGUUCUCAGCUCACCGUUGCGCAUGCCACUCGAGACUGGGGGAAGGUCCUUAGUGAUUAAAACCUUGUACAAUCAUCAGGGACAUAAGUAGAAGUAACUCGGUCCUCAGC